GAUGAACGCUGGCGGCGUGCCUAAUACAUGCAAGUCGAGCGAACAGAUGAGGAGCUUGCCCCCCUGACGUUAGCGGCGGACGGGUGAGUAACAUGUGGAUAACCUCCCUUUAAGACUGGGAUAACUUCGGGAAACCGGAUAUAAUACCGGAUAAUAUAUUGUACCGCAUGGUUCAAUAGUGAAAUACGGUUUUGCUGUUACUUAUAGAUGGAUCCGCGUCGCAUCAGCUAGUUGAUAAGGUAACGGAUUACCAGGACGACGUUGCGUAGCCGACCUGAGAGGGUGUCCGGCCAAACUGGACUGAGGCCACGGUCCGGAUUCUUCGGGGAGGCAGCGGUGGGAAAUCUUCCGCAUAGGGCGAAAGCUUGACGGAGCAACGCCGCGGCGUGGAUGAAGUUCUUCGGUUGUUAAGACUCUUUGAUUAGGGAGGAACGAAUGUGUAAUUAACUAUGCACGUCUUGACGGUACCUUAUCAGAAAGCCACGGCUAACUACGUG
Molecule: ribosomal RNA, 497 nt
Filed under: uncultured bacterium
Lineage: Bacteria
Description: partial 16S ribosomal RNA
Rfam family: Bacterial small subunit ribosomal RNA
Source: RNAcentral